AGGCUGCAACCCGCCUGCAUGAAGUCGGAAUUGCUGUAAUCGCGGAUCAGCAUGCCGCGGUGAAUACGUUCCCGGGCCUUGUACACACCGCCCGUCACACCAUGGGAGUUUGUAACGCCCAAAGUCGGUGGCCUAACCUUUAUGGAGGGAGCCGCCUAAGGCGGGACGAGAUGACUGGGGUGAAGUCGUAACAAGGUAAC
This 200-nucleotide ribosomal RNA is filed under the name uncultured bacterium. Its description in RNAcentral is "partial 16S ribosomal RNA". It matches the Rfam family "Bacterial small subunit ribosomal RNA", at positions 1302 to 1500 of the family's 1533-position model. The record is from RNAcentral.